GUGUCAGCAGCCGCGGUAAUACGAACCGUCCAAACGUUAUUCGGAAUCACUGGGCUUAAAGGGUGCGUAGGCGGCUCAGAAAGUAGGGUGUGAAAUCCCUCGGCUCAACCGAGGAAUUGCGCCCUAAACUACUGGACUCGAGGAAGACAGAGGUAAGCGGAACUUACGGUGGAGCGGUGAAAUGCGUUGAUAUCGUAAGGAACACCAGGAGCGAAAGCGGCUUACUGGGUCUUUUCUGACGCUGAGGCACGAAAGCUAGGGGAGCGAACGGGAUUAGAUACCCUUGUAGUCC
Molecule: ribosomal RNA, 292 nt
Filed under: uncultured bacterium
Lineage: Bacteria
Description: partial 16S ribosomal RNA
Rfam family: Bacterial small subunit ribosomal RNA
Source: RNAcentral